GACGAACGCUGGCGGCGUGCUUAACACAUGCAAGUCGAACGGUAAGGCCCUUCGGGGUACACGAGUGGCGAACGGGUGAGUAACACGUGGGUGAUCUGCCCUGCACUUCGGGAUAAGCCUGGGAAACUGGGUCUAAUACCGGAUAGGACCCUGGGAUGCAUGUCCUGGGGUGGAAAGCUUUUGCGGUGUGGGAUGGGCCCGCGGCCUAUCAGCUUGUUGGUGGGGUGAUGGCCUACCAAGGCGACGGCGGGUAGCCGGCCUGAGAGGGUGACCGGCCACAAUGGGACUGAGAUACGGCCCAGACUCCUGCGGGAGGCAGCAGUGGGGAAUAUUGCACAAUGGGCGCAAGCCUGAUGCAGCGACGCCGCGUGAGGGAUGACGGCCUUCGGGUUGUAAACCUCUUUCAGCACCGACGAAGCGCAAGUGACGGUAGGUGCAGAAGAAGGACCGGCCAACUACGUGCCAGCCGCCGCAGUAA
RNAcentral lists this ribosomal RNA (478 nucleotides) under uncultured bacterium. RNAcentral describes it as "partial 16S ribosomal RNA". It matches the Rfam family "Bacterial small subunit ribosomal RNA", at positions 28 to 523 of the family's 1533-position model. The record is from RNAcentral.